CAAUAGCGUAUAUUAAAGUUGUUGCAGUAAAAAAGCUCGUAGUUGGAUUUGUGGCGUACGGUGUGUUCCGGGCACUUGUUGUCUGAGUAACCUGCUGUUGCCAUCCUUGGGUGGAACCUGUGUGGCAUUAGGUUGUCGUGCAGGGGAUGCCCAUCAUUUACUGUGAAAAAAUUAGAGUGUUCAAAGCAGGCUUAUGCCGUUGAAUAUAUUAGCAUGGAAUAAUGAGAUAGGACUUUUUUGCUAUUUUGUUGGUUUGCGCAAGGAGGUAAUGAUUAAUAGGGACAGUUGGGGGUAUUCGUAUUCCAUUGUCAGAGGUGAAAUUCUUGGAUUUUUGGAAGACGAACUACUGCGAAAGCAUUUACCAAGGAUGUUUUCAUUAA
Molecule: ribosomal RNA, 380 nt
Filed under: uncultured eukaryote
Lineage: Eukaryota
Description: partial 18S ribosomal RNA
Rfam family: Eukaryotic small subunit ribosomal RNA
Source: RNAcentral